Long non-coding RNA from Oreochromis niloticus (Nile tilapia), 367 nucleotides. RefSeq lists it as uncharacterized. The transcript is spliced from 3 exons. The record is from RefSeq and is a predicted model, not a curated record. NCBI's taxonomy places the organism in Eukaryota, Metazoa, Chordata, Actinopteri, Cichliformes, Cichlidae.
GGCAGAACUGACACACAAAGGUGGAUGUUGUUUCAUUUCCAGGGAGAUGUUCUCCCAUGAGUCCUCUGCCUCCUCCAUGUACAUCCACAGAACAGCCGAACCCUGCAGCAUGUGGCCACUGAGGGACUGAUCUAGGUUCCGGCCUUCUGGUUUCCACACACCUGUGGAUAGUCAUGCACCUGAAACUGAUGACUUCCUAUUCUUUGCUGGAUAGUUCCUCCUACCACAGGUCUCUUGGUAAUUACCUGAGUUGGGAAUCUGGAGUGAAACAUCUGGAAACUGCCAGAGAGCUGUCUGUGUCUGGGGAGUCUGGGAGCAUCACUACUGCUUGAAUUCUUGUUGCUGGACAUUCCGCACUGCAAAUAAA